GAUGAACGCUGGCGGCGUGCUUAACACAUGCAAGUCGAACGAAGCACUUAAGAUUGAUUCUUCGGAUGACGUCUUUUGUGACUUAGUGGCGGACGGGUGAGUAACGCGUGGGUAACCUGCCUCACACAGGGGGAUAACAGUUAGAAAUGACUGCUAAUACCGCAUAACCCGAUAGGAUCGCAUGAUCCAGACGGAAAAGAUUUAUCGGUGUGAGAUGGACCCGCGUCUGAUUAGCUAGUUGGUGAGGUAACGGCCCACCAAGGCGACGAUCAGUAGCCGGGAGGAGAGGGUGAAACGUCACAAUUGAGAUGAGACACAGACUAAACUCGUACGGGAGGGAGGAGUGGGGAAUACUGCACGAGGGGGGAAGCUGUGAUGCAGCGACGCCGCGGGAGUGAAGAAGUAUGUCGGUAUGUAAAGCUCUAUCAGCAGAGAAGAAAAUGACGGUACCUGACGAAGAAGCCCCGGCUAACUACGUG
RNAcentral lists this ribosomal RNA (479 nucleotides) under uncultured bacterium. RNAcentral describes it as "partial 16S ribosomal RNA". It matches the Rfam family "Bacterial small subunit ribosomal RNA", at positions 28 to 507 of the family's 1533-position model. The record is from RNAcentral.